CCUACGGGAGGCAGCAGUGGGGAAUAUUGGACAAUGGGGGGAACCCUGAUCCAGCGACGCCGCGUGAGUGAAGAAGUAUUUCGGUAUGUAAAGCUCUAUCAGCAGGGAAGAAAAUGACGGUACCUGACUAAGAAGCGCCGGCUAACUACGUGCCAGCAGCCGCGGUAAUACGUAGGGGGCAAGCGUUAUCCGGAUUUACUGGGUGUAAAGGGGGCGUAGACGGUGCAGCAAGUCUGAUGUGAAAGGUCGGGGCCCAACCCCGGGACUGCAGUGGAAACUGUUGAACUGGAGUGCAGGAGAGGUAAGCGGAAUGCCUGGUGUAGCGGUGAAAUGCGUAGAUAUUAGGAGGAACACCAGUGGCGAAGGCGGCUUACUGGACUGUAACUGACGUUGAGGCUCGAAAGCGUGGGGAGCAAACAGGAUUAGAUACCCCGGUAGUC
Molecule: ribosomal RNA, 440 nt
Filed under: uncultured bacterium
Lineage: Bacteria
Description: partial 16S ribosomal RNA
Rfam family: Bacterial small subunit ribosomal RNA
Source: RNAcentral